CCUACGGGGUGCUGCAGUGGGGAAUAUUGCUCAAUGGGGGAAACCCUGAUCCAGCGACGCCGCGUGAGUGAAGAAGUAUCUCUGUACGUUAAGCUCUAUCAGCAGGGAAGCAAAUGACGGUACCUUACUAAGAAGCCCCGGCUAACUACGUGCCAGUAGCCUCGGUAAUACGUAGGGGGCGAGCGUUAUCCGGAUUUACUGGGGGUAAAGGGAGCGUAGACGGCAGGACAAGUCUGGAGUGAAAUCCCGGGGCUUAACCGCGGAACUGCUUUGGAAACUGUGCGGCUGGAGUGCAGGAGGGGUAAGCGGAAUUCCUAGUGUAGCGGUGAAAUGCGUAGAUAUUAGGAGGAACACCGGUGGCGAAGGCAGCUUACUGGACUGUAACUGACAUUGAGGCUCGAAAGCGUGGGUAGCAAACAGGAUUAGAUACCCCAGUAGUC
RNAcentral lists this ribosomal RNA (440 nucleotides) under uncultured bacterium. RNAcentral's name for it is "partial 16S ribosomal RNA". It matches the Rfam family "Bacterial small subunit ribosomal RNA", at positions 338 to 795 of the family's 1533-position model. The record is from RNAcentral.